This 274-nucleotide ribosomal RNA is filed under the name uncultured prokaryote. RNAcentral describes it as "partial 16S ribosomal RNA". It matches the Rfam family "Bacterial small subunit ribosomal RNA", at positions 524 to 797 of the family's 1533-position model. The record is from RNAcentral.
UACGUAUGGGGCAAGCGUUAUCCGGAAUUAUUGGGCGUAAAGAGUGCGUAGGUGGUUACCUAAGCGCAAGGUUUAAUCUUGAGGCUCAACCUCAUUCUGCCUUGCGAACUGGGCUACUUGAGUGCAGGAGGGGAAAGCGGAAUUCCUAGUGUAGCGGUGAAAUGCGUAGAUAUUAGGAAGAACACCGGUGGCGAAGGCGGCUUUCUGGACUGUAACUGACACUGAGGCACGAAAGCGUGGGUAGCAAACAGGAUUAGAUACCCCCGUACGUCCU